This 403-nucleotide ribosomal RNA is filed under the name uncultured bacterium. RNAcentral describes it as "partial 16S ribosomal RNA". It matches the Rfam family "Bacterial small subunit ribosomal RNA", at positions 30 to 526 of the family's 1533-position model. The record is from RNAcentral.
AUUGAACGCUGGCGGCAGGCCUAACACAUGCAAGUCGAGCGCGCGGCGGAAGCGUGAGUAAUGUAUGGGGACUGCCCGAUAGAGGGGGAUAACAACUGUAAACGGUGUCUCAUACCGCAUACAGUCGCAUUACCCAUAUGGGAUUAGCUAGUAGGUAAGGUAAAGGCUUACCUAGGCGACGAUCCCUAGCGGGUCUGAGAGGAUGAUCAGCCACACUGGGACUGAGACACGGCCCAGACUCCUACGGAGGCAGCAGUGGGGAAUAUUGCACAAUGGGCGCAAGCCUGAUACAGCCAUGCCGCGUGUAUGAAGAAGGCCGUAGGGUUGUAAAGUACUUUCAGUGGGGAGGCGUUACCGGCAGAAGAAGCACCGGCUAACUCCGUGCCAGCAGCCGCGGUAAUAC